CGUAGGGUCCGAGCGUUGUCCGGAAUUAUUGGGCGUAAAGGGCUUGUAGGCGGUCCGUCGCGUCAGGAGUGAAACUCGGGCUUAACCCGAGCCUGCUUUGAUACGGGCGGACUAGAGGGAUGCAGGGGAGAACGGAAUUCCUGGUGGAGCGGUGGAAUGCGCAGAUAUCAGGAGGAACACCGGUGGCGAAGGCGGUUCUCUGGGCAUCACCUGACGCUGAGAAGCGAAAGCGUGGGGAGCAAACAGGCUU
RNAcentral lists this ribosomal RNA (250 nucleotides) under uncultured bacterium. RNAcentral describes it as "partial 16S ribosomal RNA". It matches the Rfam family "Bacterial small subunit ribosomal RNA", at positions 526 to 779 of the family's 1533-position model. The record is from RNAcentral.